GCGUGAGUGAUGAAGGCCUUAGGGUUGUAAAGCUCUUUCGGCGGGGACGAUGAUGACGGUACCCGCAGAAGAAGCCCCGGCUAACUUCGUGCCAGCAGCCGCGGUAAUACGAAGGGGGCUAGCGUUGUUCGGAAUUACUGGGCGUAAAGGGCGCGCAGGCGGCCAUUCAAGUCAGAUGUGAAAGCCCCGGGCUCAACCUGGGAACUGCAUUUGAGACUGGAUGGCUAGAGUUCGGGAGAGGAUGGUGGAAUUCCCAGUGUAGAGGUGAAAUUCGU
This 275-nucleotide ribosomal RNA is filed under the name uncultured bacterium. RNAcentral describes it as "partial 16S ribosomal RNA". It matches the Rfam family "Bacterial small subunit ribosomal RNA", at positions 399 to 691 of the family's 1533-position model. The record is from RNAcentral.